GCGCCUGUAGCUCAGUUGGAUAGAGCGCCGGACUUCGAAUCCGUAGGCCGUCCGUUCGAGUCGGACCAGGCGCGCCA
RNAcentral lists this transfer RNA (77 nucleotides) under Pseudomonadota bacterium. RNAcentral's name for it is "Proteobacteria bacterium (groundwater metagenome) tRNA-Arg". It matches the Rfam family "tRNA". Rfam says of the family: Transfer RNA (tRNA) molecules are approximately 80 nucleotides in length. Their secondary structure includes four short double-helical elements and three loops (D, anti-codon, and T loops). The record is from RNAcentral. RNAcentral also lists the same sequence under 2 other names. Lineage: Bacteria; Pseudomonadati; Pseudomonadota.